Orbicella faveolata is the source of this 2341-nucleotide long non-coding RNA. The record is from RefSeq and is a predicted model, not a curated record. NCBI's taxonomy places the organism in Eukaryota, Metazoa, Cnidaria, Anthozoa, Scleractinia, Merulinidae.
GACGUAAGUAACCGGAAGUGAAAUUUCACCUUCUUAGCAACGCGCGCGAGCGCGCGCAUGAAUCGGUCAAUGGGCCCUUAAGGUUUACCGCUGUCCAGUAAAAUACUGUAUCGCGCCCCCCAAAAAACGUAUUUCCGCGGAGUCAUCCAAGCAGAACAUCACAAUCGCAUUCUCGACCCCAGACCCUUCGCUUUCUUAAUCGCGCCGAGAAGAGCUCUGGGGUCGAGAAUGAUCGCAAUCGCAUAUUGGUCCAAUCUCGUUCCCAGAGCCUUCGUUACCUUUGUCCAGCGGAACGGUUUCCCGUUCCGCUGGACAAGGGUAACGAAGGCUCUGGGAACGAGAUUGAUAUUGGUCAAGUUUACACAGAAAUCACGAGAUGUAGGAGCUUAUUUCUAAGAUGUAUGGUUGCCUGGCUUUCCUGGCAUUAAUUAUUCGUUUGGCUUAAGUUGUUUUGGAAGGAAUUUGCGUCAGAGCGGAGAUGGAAAAUUCAAAAUACAAGCAUUUUGGGGACACGUCUGAUGCUGAAGUCCAUAUUUAGGCCAUUGAAACGAUUGUACUUUGAACUGUGCUUCGUUCCACCGCUAGCUCGAACGGCUGGUAGUCGAGCCAAGAAGAAAGCGGCUUUUAUCAUAUGCAGGAUCAGAUGCAGGAUCAGAUGUAGUAUACCUUCCAAAGCGACUGAAAAAAGAAAGUCACGAACACACAGGAGGUUGUUAAUUUUGGAUCUUACAAUGUGAAAUGGAACAAUUCCAGACUUAUUAAAACUGCUUCGUCUAAAGAAAGGGGUAGCUCACCAGGGAAGAAUGGUUGAACUACACACCAGCCGAGGAUACUGUGCACAAGCAAUUGUAACUGUUUCAUAUCUACAGAUUGACCCACAAACACUUCAUAUCAUGUGGGCUGUCUCCACUCAUGGGAAUUCUCACACGAUGAAGAACUACAAAUGAAUCAAGCUGGAAAGAAUUUACAGAAGAUGCUCCUGUAUCAGUUGAACUCGGCAAUCUUCUUACUAACUAAUUCUGACCUUGAGGUGGCAAUGGAAUACCAAUGAAAGACUGGAAGGUUUACAAAAGGUCAGUAACAGUAAAGUUAGGACUUUGCCUAAUGGGAGCCGCAUGAAGUAGAUCAAUAAAGACUUGAAUUUAAGGCUACUGGAUUGGAAACAGGCAAAGCGUAUGAGUUUCCAGGGAAUGUCUUGGCAAAAAUGGUGAAGACUGAAAAGAUGAAGAUUAUCAGCAGAGUGAAGAUUUCAAGGUAAAUCUCGAAAAGAUGAAGCUAAUUUGGAAUCAUUCAAGCUCAGGAUUAGUGGUUUGAGAGCAGGGGUUGUUACAUAGAUUUCAUUUUGUAUCCUUUUACAUACGCACAUAAAGGAAAGUCACCAUUAUCGAGAGCUGUUUGCUUUAUUCAGAGCAACGUACACUUACACCUGCAGUUUGUCUCAGUUUGCUGUCUAGUAAUUCAGUACUUAAAAAACUACACAAAAUGCUCGUACUCCUAUUAAAAUGUAUCAUUUCUUUUAAGGCGUAGAUGAGUUGAUCGUUUUUAAUUUUUGCUUAGAAGAGUUUCGAAAAGGCGAAUUAUCCUGUACAAUCAAUUAAUUUAAUUUUUUUCUUUGAUGUGAUAGAGUUAGUAUCUUUAUUACAGUCUCCUGAUUAAAAAACGUUAUAGAAAAACAUUUUAAAAGAAAUUUAAAAGCCAUUUCAUCCCGUCUCGGCGUCAUCUUAUCGCCAUUUUUGCAAAGCUGUUUAACAAGCUGGAGCUUUUUUUCUUGACUCUUUCACACCUGAACUAAUACGUAUUGGAAGCCUAUUAUGACUUAAAAAUCUACUUUUGUAGUGGGAACCAAGAUGACGCCGAAGCUACCGUUUAAAUGUCGUUUAAAAUGUUACAAUCCUACUAAAGGUAAAAGGUGGGAAUCGUAGUGAGUUCAUUUCAUUACCUAAAAUAUUACCGCAUUUGUGCUGUUGUUUUCUCAGUCAGAUGAUAAAUGAGUUAUCAAAUGAACGCCCAAGCAAUUAAGGAUAAACACAACUCGUGAUAUUUGCUAGUUCUUAAGUCUUCAAAUAUCUCUCACAGUAUAAAUCCUUAAUUAACCAUUAUAUGCUGUAGUAAAAUCAAUUUCUCGAUCUUGACUGACAACAUAACCCCAUUCAUACCAGAGAAAGGAGAACGGGAAUGUGGUCACGUGAACCAUCAUUCUCCAGAGAGAUUUCUGUUUUCUUCGAUCGGGUGCAAUCUUGUUGGAUCUUGAGCUGUGCCUAGUAAUUUUGAUUCGUUCUUUAUAUUUGACCAACGUUUUACAAACUGAGCUUUGCAGUCAACAGAGUUAUAUUGAAGUUGA